RNAcentral lists this ribosomal RNA (429 nucleotides) under Pseudomonadota bacterium. Its description in RNAcentral is "Proteobacteria bacterium partial 16S ribosomal RNA". It matches the Rfam family "Bacterial small subunit ribosomal RNA", at positions 355 to 776 of the family's 1533-position model. The record is from RNAcentral. Lineage: Bacteria; Pseudomonadati; Pseudomonadota.
UGGGGAAUAUUGGACAAUGGGCGAAAGCCUGAUCCAGCCAUGCCGCGUGUGUGAAGAAGGUCUUCGGAUUGUAAAGCACUUUAAGUUGGGAGGAAGGGCAGUAAGCGAAUACCUUGCUGUUUUGACGUUACCGACAGAAUAAGCACCGGCUAACUCUGUGCCAGCAGCAGCGGUAAUACAGAGGGUGCAAGCGUUAAUCGGAAUUACUGGGCGUAAAGCGCGCGUAGGUGGUUCGUUAAGUUGAAUGUGAAAGCCCCGGGCUCAACCUGGGAACUGCAUCCAAAACUGGCGAGCUAGAGUAGGGCAGAGGGUGGUGGAAUUUCCUGUGUAGCGGUGAAAUGCGUUGAUAUAGGAAGGAACAACAGUGGCGAAGGCGACCACCUGCGCUCAUACUGACACUGAGGUGCGAAAGCGGGGGGAGCAAACAGG